CAGCAGCCGCGGUAAUACAGAGGGUGCGAGCGUUAAUCGGAUUUACUGGGCGUAAAGCGCACGCAGGCGGUCUGUUAAGUCAGAUGUGAAAUCCCCGGGCUUAACCUGGGAACUGCAUUUGAAACUGGCAGGCUAGAGUCUUGUAGAGGGGGGUAGAAUUCCAGGUGUAGCGGUGAAAUGCGUAGAGAUCUGGAGGAAUACCGGUGGCGAAGGCGGCCCCCUGGACAAAGACUGACGCUCAGGUGCGAAAGCGUGGGGAGCAAACAGGAUUAGAUACCCGAGUAGUCCCUGUCUCUUAUAA
This 301-nucleotide ribosomal RNA is filed under the name uncultured bacterium. RNAcentral describes it as "partial 16S ribosomal RNA". It matches the Rfam family "Bacterial small subunit ribosomal RNA", at positions 509 to 809 of the family's 1533-position model. The record is from RNAcentral.